CAGCCGCCGCGGGAAUACGUAGGGGGCGAGCGUUGUCCGAAGUUACUGGGCGUAAAGCGCGCGUAGGCGGCUUCUUAAGUCUGAGGUGAAAGGUUCAACGCUUAACGUGAACAGUGCCUUGGAUACUGGGGAGCUUGAGUAUGGGAGAGGGCAGUGGAAUGGCUGGUGUAGCGGUGAAAUGCGUAGAUAUCAGUCGGAACACCCAUGGCGAAGGCAGCUGCCUGGCCUAAUACUGACGCUGAGGUGCGAAAGCGUGGGGAGCGAACGGGAUUAGAUACCCCCGUAGUCCCUGUCUCUUAUA
This 301-nucleotide ribosomal RNA is filed under the name uncultured bacterium. Its description in RNAcentral is "partial 16S ribosomal RNA". It matches the Rfam family "Bacterial small subunit ribosomal RNA", at positions 509 to 808 of the family's 1533-position model. The record is from RNAcentral.